GACGAACGCUGGCGGCGUGCUUAACACAUGCAAGUCGUACGGUAAGGCCCUUUCGGGGGUACACGAGUGGCGAACGGGUGAGUAACACGUGAGUAACCUGCCCACAACUUUGGGAUAACGCUAGGAAACUGGUGCUAAUACUGGAUAUGUGCUCCUGCUGCAUGGUGGGGGUUGGAAAGCUCCGGCGGUGGUGGAUGGACUCGCGGCCUAUCAGCUUGUUGGUGGGGUAGUGGCCUACCAAGGCGGCGACGGGUAGCCGGCCUGAGAGGGUGACCGGCCACAUUGGGACUGAGAUACGGCCCAGACUCCUACGGGAGGCAGCAGUGGGGAAUAUUGCACAAUGGGCGCAAGCCUGAUGCAGCAACGCCGCGUGCGGGAUGACGGCCUUCGGGUUGUAAACCGCUUUCAGCAGGGACGAAGCUUUUUGUGACGGUACCUGCAGAAGAAGCACCGGCUAACUACGUG
This 465-nucleotide ribosomal RNA is filed under the name uncultured bacterium. RNAcentral's name for it is "partial 16S ribosomal RNA". It matches the Rfam family "Bacterial small subunit ribosomal RNA", at positions 28 to 507 of the family's 1533-position model. The record is from RNAcentral.